AGGUUAAGAUUUCAGUGCUGCAAGGGAAUGAGUGACCGCAGGACAUUGAACUGCCUCCAUCCUUCAUCAGCUCCACAGGAGGAGCAUCCCAGCUCCUUGCAGACUGACUCCUUCCUCAGAUAUGCUGGACAGCCACCUCUUGGUCCCAGGAAACCACUGAGCUGAGGGAAUAGGUCAAGAAAUGGAUGAGCUUCAUGAAGUUUUGGAUCAAAAACUUUCAGACUUCCUGAAGUUAUAUUGCAGGCCUGUGGACUGUGCUGUAAACUUAAACAUUGCCAUACAUUUUGCCAAAUAUUUUAGAUGUAUCAGAGAAUUUUAAUGUCUUUUACAACUGCUGUACAGCAAAAUCCAUGGUGUCUUAACAGAUUUUUCCAUUUAUAGGUGAGUGCUUAAGUAUUCUAUUUUCAACAGUAUCAUCUUCUUACAACACAGGAAACCCAAAGAAGAUUUUUAAUUAGCUCCUCUUCUAUAAAUUUAGUCUUUUCAUUAUUCAUUCCAGCCUAAUCAUACAUGGGACACUAAAAUGGAUAAAUUUGGGAUAUCAGCUUUUACCAUCAAGAAUUGUGGUGUGUCAAAGCAGUCUUUAAAAAGAGAGAAAGUUAGUAUCUAUCCGUUUAUCCAUUAAAUGUCUUCCAGGAAUUUUGUUUGGCAAAAAUAGAGGUGUUACUUUUGCUGAUUUCUCCUCAGCUUUCCAAUGACCUUGAAUCAUGCUGAUUGUUUCAGCAGGGGAGCAUGGGGACCAUUCUUCAGUUCACCUUCCAAAAUCAAAGAAAAAAGCAUUUCUGAAUGUACUAUGUAGCAAAAAAAUUAUCUUGCAAAUUGCUCAGAAGUGACCACAGCAGUGAAUAUUCUUUAUAAGGCUAAAAUGUGAAGAAUAAUUUCUAUCUGUUACCAUUUUGAUUUUUAUCACCACACCUUCCAGUGGUCUUUGAAUACAUUGCAUUCCUUUAGAGUUACAGACCAGAAAAGACUGAACUUUCAUUUUCAUUUUGAUGCCAUUUCUUCAUAGGAGAGAUGAAAAUAAAUGC
RNAcentral lists this long non-coding RNA (1028 nucleotides) under Zonotrichia albicollis (white-throated sparrow). Its description in RNAcentral is "lncRNA (ENSZALG00000013593.1)". The record is from RNAcentral. Lineage: Eukaryota; Metazoa; Chordata; Aves; Passeriformes; Passerellidae.